CCAUGUGCUCCUUGGCUGGAGAGGGCUGCUUGUCCUGGCUGCCCUCAGGGCAGGAGGGUUUGGCAGAAGGAGUGGGGCUGCUGCUGGCGGUGGGCAAGAGGAUCUUACACUAUUAGUCACUCAGGGUGACAAACAGAAUGAGCAAGGAAAACAGACAAAGGCGAGCAGUGAAGUUCAGAUCACAUCUGAGAUUUCCCAACAAGCAAGGCUCAGCUCACUCCCUCCUCUCAUAUGAGGCUGCUGCUCUGUGGCUGCCAUCAGUCUAUGCUGAGAUGUACCCUGCCCUCCACCUGCACACUGAGCUUGAUCAGUGUGGGCAGCAGCAUUUGAUGGUCAAUGUCUGUGCUGCUUAAGGAAGACACCUUGAAGAGAACGGCCUCCAGAAGUGAGCCAAGGCUACCAAGCACUGUUGCUGCCGACAUGGCAUGAGUCCCAUCAGGAGAGAUGGGUCAGAGCAUCUCUACCCUCUCAUCCGAGACAUGUGGAUGCUCCAAGCAGUCAAUAAA
Molecule: long non-coding RNA, 506 nt
Organism: Pipra filicauda (Wire-tailed manakin)
Lineage: Eukaryota; Metazoa; Chordata; Aves; Passeriformes; Pipridae
Exons: 3
Source: RefSeq, a predicted model, not a curated record